GGCACGGUAGCUCAGUUGGUUAGAGCGGGCGACUCAUAAUCGCCAGGUCGGGGGUUCGAGCCCCCCCUGUGCUA
Molecule: transfer RNA, 74 nt
Filed under: bacterium
Lineage: Bacteria
Also listed under: 5 other names
Description: tRNA-Met
Rfam family: tRNA
About the family: Transfer RNA (tRNA) molecules are approximately 80 nucleotides in length. Their secondary structure includes four short double-helical elements and three loops (D, anti-codon, and T loops).
Source: RNAcentral